UGCCCAGCAACUCCUAUCCCUACCUCCUCGCGGUACUGCCCGGGGUACGAGCAACCUUAGGGAAGAUCUUCCGGUGGGAACUUUGGUCGUAUACUGACAGGGAAGG
Non-coding RNA from Aedes aegypti (yellow fever mosquito), 106 nucleotides. Lineage: Eukaryota; Metazoa; Arthropoda; Insecta; Diptera; Culicidae. The record is from Rfam.